Molecule: long non-coding RNA, 495 nt
Filed under: Numida meleagris (helmeted guineafowl)
Lineage: Eukaryota; Metazoa; Chordata; Aves; Galliformes; Numididae
Description: lncRNA (ENSNMEG00000019188.1)
Source: RNAcentral
UUUUUUUUUUUUUCAGUUGAAAGUUGAAGGCCUAAUCUUUCACUCACGCUGUUAUGUUUUGUGAUUAUGAUGACUCUUUGGAAAUGCCUGUGAAUCUAAAUUCACCACAGCUAUGUUUAUGGCUUUAUUGCUACUGUCUGUGGCAUCUGUAAAUGGUCACAAAAGCAUUCUGAAGAACACGUGGAAAGAAUAAAUGAGGAUUAAUUUCUUACUUCGGAACCAGUGUGGAAUGCCACUGUUUUCUCAGUCUUGCUGUGUUGCCUUCAUAAACCCCAUUAAGAAAUUUUGGCUCAUCACCCUGGGCUCUGUUCCUCAUGGAUUUCUCACAGAAUUCUUCCUGGCUGAUUUGCAUUUUGAUGAUGUACCUCUGCUGUGCAUUAAGUGAUGUACCAAUACAUACUAUUAGAGUGCAUCUUUCAGGAAUGAUGGUCCACCAGAGCUAUAUAAAAUGACUGAAUGUUUGUUAGCUGAAUAAAGCCAGAUGGCAUCAACUCA